Molecule: long non-coding RNA, 624 nt
Filed under: Heterocephalus glaber (naked mole-rat)
Lineage: Eukaryota; Metazoa; Chordata; Mammalia; Rodentia; Bathyergidae
Description: lncRNA (ENSHGLG00100048886.1)
Source: RNAcentral
CUUCGAGCGGGAGGUUGGAUUCUGGCUGUGGCUGUGCUGUGAGCUCCACCGAGCUGAGCCGUGGGAUGGGACACAGGCUCAGCAGUGACUUGGUGCUUGCGGGGGGCGUGGCCUUUGUGCCGCAGUUGAAGCCUGAUGCACGGACCCCUAUGCUGCUUUCUCCUGGCCGUGUCAGCACGAAGCCAGUGGAUGUCACAGCCGUUCCACAGCCAGGAAGCAGCAGAUAUUUCGGAGAACCCUUCCAGACCACAGUCCACUCACUCCUGAAAUGACCCAGGGUUUGAGAGUCGGCUCCGGUGACAACGAGGUGUCUGGGCUGAGGAGCUGAGCCCGGGACAGCAGCAGGAGCCAGCAGCAGGAGCCAGGGCUGCUGUGCGCCCUGCUCAGAUUUUCAGAUUUGGAAGCAAUGGAGAGCAAAUGAUGUUUCUUAUAAGAUGGUCCACCAGAAGCCAGCUUCCCUAGUGAAAUGCUGCCUUGUCAGUGUCCUCUGUUAGUGAUUCCUGCAAACUAGAGGGUUUCCUACUUGGCGAAGCCUCUGUUUGUGAUGGCAAGUGUGUGCGCGGGUUCCACUGCAUUUGCAGUGGAACUUGUGUCUUGGCCAGUUGAAGAGAGGGGAAAAGAAAG